Molecule: non-coding RNA, 120 nt
Filed under: marine eukaryotic metagenome
Description: FMN riboswitch (RFN element)
Rfam family: FMN riboswitch aptamer (RFN element)
About the family: The RFN element is a highly conserved domain that is found frequently in the 5'-untranslated regions of prokaryotic mRNAs that encode for flavin mononucleotide (FMN) biosynthesis and transport proteins. This element is a metabolite-dependent riboswitch that directly binds FMN in the absence of proteins.
Source: RNAcentral
AUCUUCAGGGCAGGGUGUAAUUCCCGACCGGCGGUAAAAGUCCGCGAGCGAGGCGCUAAGAGCUGAGCAUGAUGCAGUGCAAUUCUGCAGCCGACCGUAUAGUCUGGAUGGAAGAAGAUA